Molecule: long non-coding RNA, 1653 nt
Organism: Ostrea edulis (European flat oyster)
Lineage: Eukaryota; Metazoa; Mollusca; Bivalvia; Ostreida; Ostreidae
Exons: 4
Source: RefSeq, a predicted model, not a curated record
CAAAAAUGGACGCUGAAUCAGGACACUGGAUUUUGCAGUAGAUCUAUUUGAGUUCAGUAAUGAUUGUCAGGUACAACACUGUUAGGGUCUAUUAAAAUGUCGGGAUAUAUUUUUUAAUUACAGUUUGAGUUAGUUAGAAUAAUCUAACCGUGUUUUGGGACAUGCCCUCACAACCAAGGUGAUGACUGUACCAAAUCAUUGACUGAAAUUCCAUCAUUUACAGACAGAUUCUGUAUUAUCACAGACAGGAGAGUAUGCCCCCGCAGCAUACACAGACAGGAGAGUAUGCCCCCGCAGCAUACACAGACAGGAGAAUAUGCCCCCGCAGCAGACAAAGAGAGGAGAGUAUGCCCCCGCAGCAUACACAGACAGGAGAAUAUGCCCCCAUAGCAUACACAGUGAAGUCCAAUCAUUUUUAUGCUUGUAAAUUUCUCAAUUUAAUCGUGUUAAUUAUGUCUCCCCUAUUCCAGGGACAGACAUGUAUAAUUAUAUAUAUAUUGUGUUUGUACUGUCUGUCCAUCUGUCUGUGACAAAAUCCAAAAUCUUGUGAAUGCUUUUUCUCCUGUAUGGGUUAUCUGAUAAACUUGAAACUUUGUACAAUGCUUCAUUGCCAUUUGUAGAUGCGCAAAUUGGUGGGACAUGAGGAUCCAAAUAUUUUCCACAAAGUUAUAGUGGAUCUAAGAGGGGUGGAUGAUGUAAAAUACCUUGUGAUCACCUCUCUUCCUUUAUGGCUUAUUGGAUAGCCUUGAAACUUUGUACAAUGCUUCAGUUCCAUUUGUAGAUGUGCAUAUUGUCAGGAAAGGAGAAUACAUCACAACAGUCAUUAUUUUUGUAUAGUAUACAACAAUGACAUUGGUCACAUCAAUGUUCGAAUCUUUUCUCCAUCUUUUUCCUCAAUGCUUAAAUUACAGUUGAUAAUGUUGAUAUUUCUGCUCUGACUUGCUUUCUCCUUCAUACCAUGCAGUACAUUAAGGGGACUCACUCCGGGGGAGGGGUGUAAUUUGGAGCACUUUCAAUUGGGAGAGCUGGGGAGACGUUUAACAAAAACAAAUUAUAUUUGCUAUAUACUAUAAAGAUAUGGAAAUUUAAAUUGAUAUCUUGACAAUUUGGAAAGUAACUAGCACAAAAAGGGGCCAAAAUUGAUUUCUAUGAUUAGUACCAGUCACACUUUAUAGUAUUUGCAUUUCUAGCUUCAUGGUCAGAAUUCAUGUUAUACAAUUGUAAUGUCAUUGUCGUUGUUUUGCAGGGUGAUGAUGAUGUACCUGGUCAAAUCAUUGACAGAAAUUCCACUACAAAUCCUUUAUUAUCAGAGACAGAGGGAUAUACCCCCACACAGCACAAUACCUCACUAAUUCAGGACUUACAAUAGUAUUUUUCCAGAUCUGAGAGAUUCUGGUCAAGCUGGACUGCACGAAGAACGAAGUAUGAUAGGAGGAGGUGAUUGGAUGUAUAGUUCUUCCUAAAUCCCUGGACCCACACUAGGCCAGUCUGCUGGACUCAUUCUGAAUAACGCCAUGACCAUUCAAAUUCACUGAUGGGCAGUGUGAGUCAGAUAAGUAAUGGACAGUGAUGUGACACUAUUGAUGGUAAACAGAAGACUGUGACCUUGAAUCUGAAGAUCUGUGAUAAAGAUCAGAUGUACUACAAAUCUAA